Molecule: ribosomal RNA, 253 nt
Filed under: uncultured bacterium
Lineage: Bacteria
Description: partial 16S ribosomal RNA
Rfam family: Bacterial small subunit ribosomal RNA
Source: RNAcentral
UACGUAGGGGGCGAGCGUUGUCCGGAAUCAUUGGGCGUAAAGAGCGUGUAGGCGGCCCGAUAAGUCCGCCGUGAAAGUCCAGGGCUCAACCCUGGAAUGCCGGUGGAAACUGUCGGGCUGGAGUCCGGAAGAGGCGAGUGGAAUUCCUGGUGUAGCGGUGAAAUGCGCAGAUAUCAGGAGGAACACCAAUGGCGAAGGCAGCUCGCUGGGACGGUACUGACGCUGAGACGCGAAAGCGUGGGGAGCAAACAGG